Molecule: ribosomal RNA, 301 nt
Filed under: uncultured bacterium
Lineage: Bacteria
Description: partial 16S ribosomal RNA
Rfam family: Bacterial small subunit ribosomal RNA
Source: RNAcentral
CAGUAGCCACGGUAAUACGAAGGGUGCAAGCGUUAAUCGGAAUUACUGGGCGUAAAGCGUGCGUAGGCGGUUUGUUAAGUCUGUUGCGAGAUCCCCGGGCUCAACCUGGGAAUGGCAAUGGAUACUGGCAAGCUAGAGUGUGUCAGAGGAUGGUGGAAUUCCCGGUGUAGCGGUGAAAUGCGUAGAGAUCGGGAGGAACAUCAGUGGCGAAGGCAGCCAUCUGGGACAACACUGACGCUGAGGCACGAAAGCGUGGGGAGCAAACAGGAUUAGAUACCCGCGUAGUCCCUGUCUCUUAUAC